Long non-coding RNA from Suricata suricatta (meerkat), 1082 nucleotides. RefSeq lists it as uncharacterized. The transcript is spliced from 5 exons. The record is from RefSeq and is a predicted model, not a curated record. NCBI's taxonomy places the organism in Eukaryota, Metazoa, Chordata, Mammalia, Carnivora, Herpestidae.
AAGAGAACAAGAUUUGAAUCCUCAAAUCUACUUUAUAAAUAACUAUGAUCCAUGGAAAAUGGGAAAAUCUGAGGGAACAACUAAAGUCUAGUCAAGAUAAAGCUAAAGAGGGCAUGUGAAUGGAGACUUCUGGAUGAAUUCUUUGCUUUGGGACAUUUUUCUAAGAAUUCUACAAAAAGCUUCAUUUCUCAGCUCCCUCAGCUAUUCUGCCCUGAGAUAGCCAGCCACAUCCUCUAUGGUGGCCCUCAGCCCGGGGCUGACAGGUACCGGAGUGCGAAAGCCCAGGAAAUAUCUCCAUACAGGAUUUCUCUGAGGCAUAAGACAGGAUUCAGACGGAUCUGACAUCACCUGGGGGAUGGCAGAGAAUGAAGAGCCCAGUCACAGACUGAGGGUGAUCAGCUUUUGCUUGCAAAGUGUCUGGCGUUCCUUGCAUCCCAAGUGCCAUUAAAAUCACCUGACAAAGGUCCCCCAGGGACUCACUGAAUGAAGGUCCUGUGUUAGAGCUGAGGGGAAAGCAAAGAAUUGCAUGAAAAUCAUUCAGAUCUGUUUGAAGACGUUGUGGCACUUGGCAGAUUCUGGAGCUGCACUUUUCCUUUGGGCUAAAUCUCUGGACCUGCAGUAAGAAAAGAAAACUCAUCUGGAGAGGAAGGUCAAAAGCACAUGGAUGGCUUCAAUGGUUACUUUGUGGCUCCACCUAAUGGCUAAAGGUUCAAACUACUCCUGUGAAAGCACCACAGAGUGAGGGGUGGGAAGGUUUGGGAUUGUGAAGGGUGGAAGCAGAGAUGUCUGGAGUUAGUCCAUUUCCUGCUCUCUGAGAUUUAAGACCAGCAAAGAGCAUGUGCAUCAAAUGUCAGUAUGGUCCAGGGACCCAUCUCUGGUUCUUCCCUUGACCUGCCCUGCUACAGCCAUUUUAUUAGGCACUGACCGUGCUGUGGAAAUGCAAAGUGGCAAAGCCCACAGGAGAUAAUUGGCAGUAUCUAGCAAAACCACAUGUGAUUUUGCCCUUUGACCUGGUAUUCUAAGGAACUAUUCAAAAAAUACUCUGGCGAAAAAAAAAUACAAAAUGAGGUAUAGACAUACAA